CCCACCCCCACCCCCCUCGUGCCCGCUCCGCUACGUAUUCCCGUAUUCCCGGGUGCCUGGCAACAGUGAUGUGCUUUAGGCCUUUUUUAGAAUGCAUACAAACGGAACCAUAUCUAAGUGAUGUCUGGCUUUUUUAACUUAGCACAAUGCUUUGAGAUUCAUACUAUUGUGUUUAAUUAGUAAUUCAUUUGUGUUAUUGUUGAAUGGUAGUCUAUCAUAUGGGUAAGCCACAGUUUAUUUAUCCAUUCACCAAUUGAUGGGCCUGUCGGUUGUAGGGAACAGGAGAAAACUUCCCCUUUGCCCUCUGAAGGGUCACCGAAAAUCAACUGACAAGGCUGGGCCUGGGCUCCUGCCUGUAACCCCAGCCCUUUUUUAGCCCAAGGCAGGAGGAUCUCUUCUUUGUGAAGUGUGUAUUCAAAUCUUUUGACCAUUUAUUUAUUAGCUAGCUUGACUUUUUAUCUAAGAGUUCUUUAUAUAUUAUUGAGUUCUUUAUAUGUUUCAUACCAUGUUCUUUAUUAGCUAUACGUUUUGAAAUGUUUUCUACCUGUCUGUGGCUUGCCUCUUCAUUUUAAGUGUCUUUUGAAGCACUGAAGUUUUCAAUUUUGAUGUAAUUUAUCCAUUUUUUUCUUUUACAUAGUUCAUACCUUUUUUGUCCUACUUAAGACAUUUUUGCUAAAUUCAAGAUUAUAAGAUUUCCUCAUUUGUUACCUUCUGGAAGUUUUAUAAUUGUUGGUCUUCAUUAUAUUUAAAAUGAAUUAUUCUUUAUAGUAUCGAUAGAUGCUGGAGGCAGAUAAGGGAGGGUCCCUGGAGAAUCUCUGACCUGCCUCACAAGCUUUUGUGCAGCUGAGGAAGCCUGCCCAGGGUCUUGUCUGGGCAUGCCCACAAGGGACUUGGGGGCCCACUGCACCAGGAGAGUGGGGUGCAGCCAGAGGGAAUUCAGCCUUAUGCAGCAGGGAUGAGCAAGAAGUCUUCAGCUUGUGUGUGUUGGCCUGUUAUUCAGUCUGUGAGCUGGGAGCCUGUUGGCAGGACCCUCCUUGUUUUUUUGCUAAGAGCUUUUAAUAAAUGCCACUCUUCACCUUGCAAUGUAUUCACAUGCCUAAUUGUUCCUGGUCAUGAGACAAGAACCUGGAUUUUAGCUGAGCUAAGGAGCAAAAAUUCCUGCAUCAGUAUGAGGUGUAAGGAAGAACAGAAGGAUCCAAGUGUGAGAAAGCCCACCCUGAGUCUCUCAGAGAUUCAUUUCACUACCAGGUCAAAGACACAAUCAAAAGCCCGACAAAUGGAAUUUGUGGAAUUGGAACAAAAAGGCACAAGAACAUCAAAGCAUAAAUCCUUCAGGUAUCAGCAAUGACAUCACUUAAGAAUUUCUCAGAAUCUUUGGCACCACCCCAGGCCUACCGGAUCAGAAUCUGAAUUUUUUAACAAGAUCUCAGAUCUAGUCAAGAGUCCAGUCUGAUUUCUCUUUAUUGGGACUACCACCCAAAGCAGAAUGAGGAUGAUGUAACCACGCCCAGUGACUUCUGGAUACCACUGACUCUAGAUCCUGAAUUCCAGCAGAAUGGCUGACACCAACUGGUCUGAAGACCCUCACCAAGGAACUGACUCAGUGCAGGAAUGCAGUUUCUUCAUCUCCCUAUCCCUGACUUCACCCCUCACUUCUCAACCAAUCAGUGAUCACCACACUUUAGGCCAUCACCUGUGUCCAGACCCCUUAAAAACCCCAUCUGCAAACCUCUUGAAGAGGCAUAUUUGAGGUUUCCUCUCAUCUCCUCAUUUGGUUUCCCUACAAUUAUUAAAUUCUUUCUCUGCUGCAACUCCUACUUUUUCAGUGUAUUGGUCUGUUACUGUGCAACAGGAAAUCAGACCUGGUGGUCCUAUAGUAAGAGUUCACAGAAUAUGAUAUACAAAGUGAUCUGUGAUAUACAAAAACCGGCACAAUCUCACUCUUAAUAAGAAAAAUUCAACUUAAAAUUAAAAGUUUUUUUUCCUCAGAAUGGCAAAGAUCAAAGUUUGAUAACAUGGUUGGAAAGUAUGCAGACCGAUAUUCUCAUAUUCAUUGAUGAAGUGUAAAUUGAUACAUCCUUUGUCAGUACGGACAGGUUUCCCAACUCUAGGGGUGAAAUUUAUACAGACUACAGUGUGAAUGACAACCACUUCAAAUUGGGUGAUAUGAUGACCUUGACUCUGUGGAGGGUCAUUUGGCAAAAUAUCUCAAAAUAAAAAUGUACAUACAAUUUGA
This 2236-nucleotide long non-coding RNA is filed under the name Homo sapiens (human). Its description in RNAcentral is "HSALNT0320833". The record is from RNAcentral. Lineage: Eukaryota; Metazoa; Chordata; Mammalia; Primates; Hominidae.